Molecule: ribosomal RNA, 490 nt
Filed under: uncultured bacterium
Lineage: Bacteria
Description: partial 16S ribosomal RNA
Rfam family: Bacterial small subunit ribosomal RNA
Source: RNAcentral
AUUGAACGCUGGCGGCAGGCCUAACACAUGCAAGUCGAACGGUAACAGGAAGAAGCUUGCUUCUUUGCUGACGAGUGGCGGGCGGGUGAGUAAUGUCUGGGAAACUGCCUGAUGGAGGGGGAUAACUACUGGAAACGGUAGCUACUACCGCAUAACGUCACAAGACCAAAGAGGGGGACCUUCGGGCCUCUUGCCAUCGGCUGUGCCCAGGUGGGAUUAGCUAGUAGGUGGGGUAACGGCUCACCUAGGCGACGAUCCCUAGCUGGUCUGAGAGGAUGACCAGCCACACUGGAACUGAGACACGGUCCAGACUCCUACGGGAGGCAGCAGUGGGGAAUAUUGCACAAUGGGCGCAAGCCUGAUGCAGCCAUGCCGCGUGUAUGAAGAAGGCCUUCGGGUUGUAAAGUACUUUCAGCGGGGAGGAAGGGAGUAAAGUUAAUACCUUUGCUCAUUGACGUUACCCGCAGAAGAAGCACCGGCUAACUCCGUG